AGGACGAACGCUGGCGCGUGCUUAACGACGAUGCAAGUCGAGCGGAAAGGCCCUUCGGGGUACUCGAGCGGCGAACGGGUGAGUAACACGUGAGCAACCUGCCCUUGGCUCUGGGACAGCCUCCGGAAACGGGGAUUAAUACCGGACAUUCACUUUCUCCUGCAUGGGGGUUGGUGGAAAGUUUUUCGGCCAGGGAGGGGCUCGCGGCCUAUCAGCUUGUUGGCGGGGUAACGGCCCACCAAGGCGACGACGGGUAGCCGGCCUGAGAGGGCGAUCGGCCACACUGGGACUGAGACACGGCCCAGACUCCUACGGGAGGCAGCAGUGGGGAAUAUUGCACAAUGGGCGCAAGCCUGAUGCAGCGACGCCGCGUGGGGGAUGAAGGCCUUCGGGUUGUAAACCCUUUCACCAGGAGCGAAUUCAGACGGUACCUGGGGAAGAAGGCGCCGGCUAACUACGUGCCAGCAGCCGC
This 472-nucleotide ribosomal RNA is filed under the name uncultured bacterium. Its description in RNAcentral is "SSU rRNA". It matches the Rfam family "Bacterial small subunit ribosomal RNA", at positions 26 to 518 of the family's 1533-position model. The record is from RNAcentral.